Haplochromis burtoni (Burton's mouthbrooder) is the source of this 2273-nucleotide long non-coding RNA. RefSeq annotates it as hepatic lectin. NCBI's taxonomy places the organism in Eukaryota, Metazoa, Chordata, Actinopteri, Cichliformes, Cichlidae. The record is from RefSeq and is a predicted model, not a curated record. The transcript is spliced from 8 exons.
AUGGCAACGGCCUCAACGCCUCCCGAAGUUGAACUACUUCUUACUCCACCGUCAUUGAAAUCUGGCGUUUGGAACGUUUUUGCCUUUCGUGUGAAGUAUGACCCUGAUGGUAAGCGCGUUGUGGACAAAACUACAACAGACCUGGAGCAGAGAUACGCUAAUCCUGCCCUUCAGAAUUACCUACACAAGUGCACAGCUUUAGAUCCUCGAUUCAAGUCCCUGCGACACUUGGAUGAUGUCACUCAGCUGAGAGUCUAUGGAGCACUCACCACAGAACUUGUCCUGAGCAUUGAACAAGACCAAGCCGCAGGCACCACAGAAACUGCGACCUCCGCAGAGACUCAAGCAGCAAACUCUUCAGAUUCACCAUCAGCCUACGUAGAAAGAAAACUCUGCAGACUGGUUGCUUUGAGCUUUGCACUUCUGUGUAUUCUUCAAGCUACACUCAACAUUUCACUGCGACUGGCUUUUUACAGUUCUGAUACAACAACAACACCAGAUUGUGAGGCCAUUAUUAAAAACUUGACUAAAGAAGAAGACAUUAAAAUGAAUGAAUUAGCUCGCUAUAUCCAACGAGGAUGGAUAUACUUCAAACACAGUUUAUAUUACGUUUCAUCUACUGAAAACACCUGGAAUGACAGCAGAGAGGACUGUCUGCAGAGAGGGGCAGACCUGGUGAUUAUCAACAGCAGAGAGGAACAGAACUUCAUAAGAGAGUUUAAAAAACGGACAUGGAUUGGACUGACUGACACCGAAAAAGAACAGACAUGGAAAUGGGUGGAUGGGACUACACCUACCAUCAGCUUCUGGGACACCGACGAGCCUAACAGUUAUGGAGGAAAUGAUGAAGAUUGUGGAGAAAUCUAUUUCUAUGAAAGAGAAAACUCCUGGAAUGAUACACCGUGUGACACAAAAAAAGUCUGGAUUUGUGAAAAAAAAUUAUAGAUAAUUUAACCCACCAGAAAAUAUUAAGAUGUAAAAUCAUGACAAAUAAAUGUGGUCUUAAAUUAUCAACAUUCAUUUCAGGUAGUCAGCUGAUUUUAAGUGAAAGCAGAGAGGCAGAAGAAAAGACAACCAACAUAAUACUUUGUUUAUAAAGUUGGUGUGCAGGCUGUUGUCUGUAUGUCAUAUAAUCUCCUGAGCUGAAGCUUCUCCAGCUUUGCUCAACAUAUUCCAGAAAAAAACCUGAGUGCCAUAAACAUGUGGACUGAUCUGUGUGAGGCAGGAGGGAGGUAGUGACGUGGCAUUUCAAACCAUAUAGUUUUAUCCUUCUGCACUGAGUAGUAAAAUUUCCAGCUUACUUAGUUUUUCUAAUUUAAGACAACUCAAAUGAUCAGAGCUGAUCAGCUUUUUGAAUGAAAAGUACUAGUAACUUACUUAAACUGAGUUCUAAAAACAAGUUGAUAAAAACUCAGUCUACUUGAUAUUUUUAGUUAAACACAAUAUUAGAUUUUACAGUGUGAAAAUAAUUUAGAUGAUGUUCAAAUUUUCAAUUAAAAACAGUUACUGUCAUGGUCCAGGGUCUGUGAUGCAGGGUUUUGAGUUUUGCGAAUGUUUAGGAGUUUUCUAGUGCAUUAUCUGUAUAUUAUAGUUCUAUUUUUUGCAUUUUUUGUCAUUCAGGAUUUUGUUACUAUUUUGUUAACUUUGUGUUCUAGGUUUUGUUUCUUAUCGUCAUGAUAUUCUGCUAUGCUCCUUAUUUGUACUUUCUUCUGGUCUUGGUUUUGUUAUCUUGGCUUUUGGUUACUGUUAUCAUACCUCUCCUGUGUUCCACGUCUCUUGUUUAGUCUGUCUUGUUCAUGUGUUUCUCUCCGGUCCCCGUGUAAAGCUCGUGUGUCUAAGUUUGUUUCUCAUCAUGUGUGACUUCCUGCUUUACUUUGACAGUGUCUCGUCUUGUGUGGUUCUUGUUCAGUUUUGCAUCUGCUGCCUCGUCAUUUAGAUCACAUUCAGCCGUGUUCUCCAGGUGUUACCUCUCUGUCCUGAUUUCCUUUUGUGUGUAUAGUAGCUGUGUCCCAAUUCAGGGUCUGCACGCUUGAAGUACGCGCACUACGCGUACUACGUACGGUGCGUACUAUAAGUACGAGAAGUGCGGAAGUGAGAGGCUUGUGAAAUGGGACGGUAUACGCUUUGUCGCGCUGUUCAGGUUGCCUAGCAAUCAUGAUACUGACCGCGAGACAAGUUACAUACAGCUUUGUUUGACAGAAAUGAAGGAGAAAAAUGUUCUGUUAGUCAUUCAUUUUUGUCAUGACAUCACUUUGAUUAGUUGAGUAUCUGAG